Molecule: long non-coding RNA, 1101 nt
Organism: Dermacentor andersoni
Lineage: Eukaryota; Metazoa; Arthropoda; Arachnida; Ixodida; Ixodidae
Source: RefSeq, a predicted model, not a curated record
UUUAGCAACGCACCUACGAUAAAGAAGCACUGACUUGCAACUAAAGGUUUAUUGUUGCAAGACAGAUGUUUAUCGCUUUCAUCUUUGUUUACUCAUUCAGCCUGUCUUGCAGCAAUGAACCUUUUUGAGUUCACCACCUGUGCAUGUAGAGUUUGUGCAUGCAUCUAGAGAUGCCUGUACAUGCCUGUAAAUAAAAAGAAAUGUAAUGAACCUCCAACCAGACCCCAUUGAAAAUUGCGGUUAUAUGCUGCAAGUUGUAAAGCCUGUCGGGGCGUUCUAGCAGCGCAAGCAUUUUUCAAAUUGUUUUAUUAUUAUUAGAAGAGGUAGCAGAAAGGGAAAAGUCUUGCCACAACAUAGCCAGGAGGCGAGGUUCACUGCCAACAUAGACAACCUCUACCUCUCCCACAACUAUCAUCCACAAGCCACAUUCCUUACAUUUUUUUUUCUUUGUGUUCCGUGGCUCAGUUCCAGAGUUGGUUUUGCAUGUUCUGCAUUGGAUGUUUGGCCAAAGUCUUUGUACGUAAUCAGUGACAUUGAAGGCAGUGUAUAAAUGAGAGAUUUAUACGUAUGACCCUGCUUCUCUGGCAGGAAGCAGGGCUACCUGACGGGAGCCGUGAACAGCAUGUGAGCUUUAAAAAAUUUCUUAAGCUGAAAAAAAUGUAAAAAAUUUCUGCGGCUGUCAUGCUGUUCUGCAGUUGUUUAAUACUUUGCAGGCACGAUCGCCACUAUAUGACUUACACACCACUGCAGAGUCUAGCCGCCUCAAUCCCCACACAUUGAAAGACUGGCCGGACCCACCAACGUCGCCGCAGAGGCCGCAGAUGCUUUCUGCGCUCCCGCCGCCUUUGCAAGAGCAGCAGCAGCGAAAGCUUCUUUCUCAUGUGGUACAUUGCGGGGAGAGAACGCUGAUGCCGGCGAAGCAAGCGGCUAAGCAAGAGCUCGGCAGCAACGUCGUGCGUGGUCGCGCGCAGAUGUCAGCUGCAGUUUGGCUUUGAAUUCUGCCCCCCCCAAGCCUCCAAGAACCAGCACUCAUCCCCUUCUGCCACUAGCCAUUGCUCAUCCAUUCUCUUGUACGAAAUAAAUUUCAUCUUGAAGCUUGUG